This 1098-nucleotide long non-coding RNA is filed under the name Equus caballus (horse). RNAcentral's name for it is "lncRNA (ENSECAG00000045920.1)". The record is from RNAcentral. Lineage: Eukaryota; Metazoa; Chordata; Mammalia; Perissodactyla; Equidae.
CUGAAGCUCUGAGGUCUGGCUUUAGACUUCAGGUCAUGGGCUCCGUGUUCUGGACCUGGAGGCUGUCUCCAGCUUCUGGGUUCCCCACUCUGGUUCUGGCCUGCAGCGGGCAUCUCCAGGACCUGCACUCCAAGUUCUCAGGUGCAAGCUCUGGGUUUGGAUUCCCAGAGCUAAGCUCCAGUGUCAGGGAUCAAAUAUCAAGCUUGGGGCUCUGCUUCUAGGCACUGGGCUCUACAUUCUGGGCUCCAAUCUCUGAUUCCAGAUUCCAGACUCCAGGUUCUAGACUUCAGGCUCUUGGUUCCAGGUUCUGCAUCUGGGCUCCAGGUUCCAGUUCCAGGCUUCGUGCUUUAGGCUCCGAGCUCCAGUUCCGCACUCCACACUCCAGUUUUGGGUCUGGGUUCUGAGUUCCUUCGGCCCCUCAGCAAGGGGACAGGAAGAUGGUGGCCUCCUCAGCUAGUGGGGUUAUCUCUGCCCACCCAUCUCAGCUGGCUAGGACUCCAGUCUGGCAGCCGGCACCCUGGGCUGGCCAGGAGCAGCACCAGGACUGAGUCUGGCUUCUCUGCCUGCAAGCCACCUCCUUCUGGGAGUUCCUCCCUGAUUCCCCUCUCUGUGUGGGGUCUGGGCUUCCCUGGCUCCCUGGAGAUAGAGAAGACCGCCCAGGAAAAGUAGGCAAGGGGCAGAACCUGCUCCUGCCAUAAGAGCCAGCAUCUCUCACAAGGCCUUCGAUGCAUCCAAAGAAGCCCACAGCCAUCUCUGCAGAGACACUCAGUCCUCAAAAGAAGUGGAAAACAGCAACCAGACCCCGUACUUAGAGCCACAGAGACCAAGGAGCAGCAUGAUGACGCCUGGCAGAGGCACAGCUCCCCAGAGGGUCUUCCGCUCCCCACUUCCUCCUUCUCUCCUCCCCUCCCUCCCUCUCUCUUGCUCUCUCUCUCACACUCACACCCGGAUACUCUGUGCAGUCAGGAAGAGACGUUCUGACAACAGGAAGUCAGGGGGCACACCUGAGGUCCCCGGGAGCUUCCUGGCACUGACCUGGGUGACAGAGGCAGUGUGGUUUGUCAGGGGUGGCACAGGGUAGACUGGCACAAAAGGAAC